This 447-nucleotide ribosomal RNA is filed under the name uncultured bacterium. RNAcentral describes it as "bacterial SSU rRNA". It matches the Rfam family "Bacterial small subunit ribosomal RNA", at positions 355 to 825 of the family's 1533-position model. The record is from RNAcentral.
UGGGGAAUCUUGGACAAUGGGCGCAAGCCUGAUCCAGCCAUGCCGCGUGAGUGAAGAAGGCCUUCGGGUUGUAAAGCUCUUUUACCAGGGACGAUAAUGACGGUACCUGGAGAAUAAGCCCCGGCAAACUUCGUGCCAGCAGCCGCGGUAAUACGAAGGGGGCUAGCGUUGUUCGGAAUUACUGGGCGUAAAGCGCACGUAGGCGGAUUGUUAAGUCAGAGGUGAAAUCCCGGAGCUCAACUUCGGAACUGCCUUUGAUACUGGCAAUCUAGAGUCCGGAAGAGGUUAGUGGAAUUCCCAGUGUAGAGGUGAAAUUCGUAGAUAUUGGGAAGAACACCAGUGGCGAAGGCGGCUAACUGGUCCGGUACUGACGCUGAGGUGCGAAAGCGUGGGGAGCAAACAGGAUUAGAUACCCGAGUAGUCCCUGAGCGGGCUGGCAAGGCGCAU